AUUGAACGCUGGCGGCAGGCCUAACACAUGCAAGUCGAGCGGACGAAGGGAGCUUGCUCCUGGAUUCAGCGGCGGACGGGUGAGUAAUGCCUAGGAAUCUGCCUGGUAGUGGGGGAUAACGUCCGGAAACGGGCGCUAAUACCGCCUACGUCCUGAGGGCGACAGUGGUGGAUCUUCGGCCCUCCCGCUCUCCGAUGCGCCUAGGUCGGAUUAGCUAGUUGGUGGGGUAAAGGCCUACCAAGGCGACGAUCCGUAACUGGUCUGAGAGGAUGAUCAGUCACACUGGAACUGAGACACGGUCCAGACUCCUACGGGAGGCAGCAGUGGGGAAGAUUGGACAAUGGGCGAAAGCAUGAUCCAGCCAUGCCGCGUGUGUGAAGAAGGGCUUCGGAUUGUAAAGCACUUUAAGUUGGGAGGAAGGGAAGUAAGUUAAUACCUUGCUGGUUUGACGUUACCAACAGAAUAAGCACCGGCUAACUUCGUG
This 484-nucleotide ribosomal RNA is filed under the name uncultured bacterium. Its description in RNAcentral is "partial 16S ribosomal RNA". It matches the Rfam family "Bacterial small subunit ribosomal RNA", at positions 30 to 507 of the family's 1533-position model. The record is from RNAcentral.